GCCGCAAGCGUGAUGAAGCGGAUAACAUCCGGAAGCGCACCGGUAUCAUUGGUUCAAAUCCAAUCGUUGCGGCA
This 74-nucleotide transfer RNA is filed under the name Siphoviridae sp. ctnpt50. RNAcentral's name for it is "tRNA-OTHER". The record is from RNAcentral. Lineage: Duplodnaviria; Heunggongvirae; Uroviricota; Caudoviricetes.